GCUUGCUAAUUGGUAUUAGAUAAUAAAUUAACAAGUAAUUAAAAGAGCUCCCUUUUGUUUAGCGAUUUGAAUUUUACAUUUGGAUGUGGCAACUGCGAACUAAGAUUUUCCAUGGUAUGAGCUCUUGUUAACUUCCAUAAAUAUUUUCUUUCCUUGGCUGCGUACAAUUGGCGUAAGAAUGCUUACGAUCAACUUGCAGUACAUCGAUUUUUUGAAACCUUCCAUCAUUUCCCAAGAUAUCAAACCCCGUUUCCCUUUCACCAUUCCAAAUCCAAGAAUCUCAACAGCAAUGUCCUAAUCAAUCAGCAUGUCUCCAGUUGUUCUUUGUAUUGUCGCUUUAGAGCUCUGCAUACUUAAGUCGUCCCCAUGCCUUCUCAAUUCUUGGGAUCUAACGAAUUCCUCUAUUCUUACCUUCAACUCA
RNAcentral lists this unclassified non-coding RNA (421 nucleotides) under Hevea brasiliensis (rubber tree). The record is from RNAcentral. Lineage: Eukaryota; Viridiplantae; Streptophyta; Magnoliopsida; Malpighiales; Euphorbiaceae.